RNAcentral lists this ribosomal RNA (362 nucleotides) under uncultured bacterium. Its description in RNAcentral is "bacterial SSU rRNA". It matches the Rfam family "Bacterial small subunit ribosomal RNA", at positions 43 to 389 of the family's 1533-position model. The record is from RNAcentral.
GGCCGCGGGAAUUCGAUUCAGGCCUAACACAUGCAAGUCGAGCGGUAGAGAGAAGCUUGCUUCUCUUGAGAGCGGCGGACGGGUGAGUAAUGCCUAGGAAUCUGCCUGGUAGUGGGGGAUAACGUUCGGAAACGGACGCUAAUACCGCAUACGUCCUACGGGAGAAAGCAGGGGACCUUCGGGCCUUGCGCUAUCAGAUGAGCCUAGGUCGGAUUAGCUAGUUGGUGAGGUAAUGGCUCACCAAGGCGACGAUCCGUAACUGGUCUGAGAGGAUGAUCAGUCACACUGGAACUGAGACACGGUCCAGACUCCUACGGGAGGCAGCAGUGGGGAAUAUUGGACAAUGGGCGAAAGCCUGAUCC